UAGGGAAUCUUCGGCAAUGGACGAAAGUCUGACCGAGCAACGCCGCGUGAGUGAAGAAGGUUUUCGGAUCGUAAAACUCUGUUGUUAGAGAAGAACAAGGACGUUAGUAACUGACCGUCACCUGACGGUAUCUAACCAGAAAGCCACGGCUAACUACGUGCCAGCAGCCGCGGUAAUACGUAGGUGGCAAGCGUUGUCCGGAUUUAUUGGGCGUAAAGCGAUCGCAGGCGGUUUCUUAAGUCUGAAGUGAAAGCCCCCGGCUCAACCGGGGAGGGUCAUUGGAAACCGGGUGACUUGAGCGCAGAAGAGGAGAGUGGAAUUCCAGGUGUAGCCGUGAAAUGCGUAGAUAUAUGGAGGAACACCAGUGGCGAAGGCGGCGCGCUGGUAUGUAACUGACGCUGAGGCUCGAAAGCGUGGGGAGCAAACAGG
Molecule: ribosomal RNA, 429 nt
Filed under: Gemmatimonadota bacterium
Lineage: Bacteria; Pseudomonadati; Gemmatimonadota
Description: Gemmatimonadetes bacterium partial 16S ribosomal RNA
Rfam family: Bacterial small subunit ribosomal RNA
Source: RNAcentral